AUCAUCACAUCUGUUUGCUGAAAUAAGUGUUAUCUAUGUAGUGUCUAAAGAAAAUUCGAAGAAAUAUCUGUUUUUUCUAACUGACAAAUAAUAAUUGAAUAUUUAUGCAAUAGAAUCUGCUAUCUGGAAAGGGUGAAUUUUAUGGUUGGUAUAAAGAAUUCUAAGACAACCUCCAAGGAAUCUUACCCUUGUUUUAAACACACGUGCCUCCCCUGAUUGAGGGCAGAAACUAUGAAGGAAAUGGCAGUCACUCCCCUGAUGACGUUACCUGAUGUGGCAAAAGUGAAGGGCAAAAACCAUAUGAUUACAAGAGUGUUUAUUGCAGUACUUUGUGUGAUAGAAAAAUGAUGGAAAGCGCGUAAACAUUUGUCAGCAAGAAAAUUCAGGUUAAUUCUUUUGAACAGAGACACUAGUAAAUGGAAUGAAAAUGAAAAUAAUAGUAAGAUCUUAGUCCUAGAAGACUUGGGGCCACCUGAUCUUCCAGUUAUUCCAGGCUAUUCUCCAUAGUCGGGAUAAGAACAGAGGACAGGAGCAGAAAUACAGGCAGUCCCUUUCUGCUUGGUUGGAAGGAAGGAGAUUUAAAGGAAACGAUGUAGAGAAAACCAAGAGCAUCAUGAAGUAUGUGAAGAAAUGAAUGAAAAGGAAAAACCGUCAGAGAGACUGUGUUGAGGGUACAUUGAGUCUUUCCAGGGAGCAUUUUAAA
Non-coding RNA from Ictidomys tridecemlineatus (thirteen-lined ground squirrel), 703 nucleotides. Lineage: Eukaryota; Metazoa; Chordata; Mammalia; Rodentia; Sciuridae. The record is from RefSeq and is a predicted model, not a curated record.